CUCGGUGCCUAUAGCGAGGGGGUCAUACCCGGUCCCAUCCCGAACCCGGAAGUCAAGCCCCUCUGCGCUGAUAAUACUGCUCCCUUCGGGAGUGGGAAGGUAGGUCGGUGCCGGGU
Molecule: ribosomal RNA, 116 nt
Filed under: Hydrogenimonas thermophila
Lineage: Bacteria; Pseudomonadati; Campylobacterota; Epsilonproteobacteria; Campylobacterales; Hydrogenimonadaceae
Source: RNAcentral